GACGCCUCCUCUCCACCCGGGUAUCUUGAGUGAGCCAGAAUGACCGCGCCCUGACGGUCCAGGAGACACCCUGGAAAUCUGAGAUGACCUCCAGUAAAAUCUGCUCACCCCAGUUACCCCUGUAAUCCCAGAUGUGAACUUGACCCUGGCCUUCCCCACCGCCAACCCCUGGAAGUCAUUAUCUCUGACCUUUACCCUCAGAGGAAGCAACAGGUCUGCACAGAGUUUGGACUUUGGACCGCUCACCCCUGAAGUAAAGGUGCUGGCAGACCUGGACACUGACCGAUGGCAAGAACUAAGGCACUGAAACAACUUUCCUUCCCUUUCAACUCAAUUCUCUCUACCUCUACUUCCCUGUCAUAUUUCUGACAUCAG
Long non-coding RNA from Cheilinus undulatus (humphead wrasse), 375 nucleotides. RefSeq lists it as uncharacterized. The transcript has 3 exons. The record is from RefSeq and is a predicted model, not a curated record. NCBI's taxonomy places the organism in Eukaryota, Metazoa, Chordata, Actinopteri, Labriformes, Labridae.